GAGUUUGAUCCUGGCUCAGAACGAACGCUGGCGGCAUGCCNAACACAUGCAAGUCGAACGAGACCUUCGGGUCUAGUGGCGCACGGGUGCGUAACGCGUGGGAAUCUGCCCUUAGGUUCGGAAUAACUCAGGGAAACUUGAGCUAAUACCGGAUAAUGACUUCGGUCCAAAGAUUUAUCGCCUGAGGAUGAGCCCGCGUCGGAUUAGCUAGUUGGUGAGGUAAAGGCUCACCAAGGCGACGAUCCGUAGCUGGUCUGAGAGGAUGAUCAGCCACACUGGGACUGAGACACGGCCCAGACUCCUACGGGAGGCAGCAGUGGGGAAUAUUGGACAAUGGGCGAAAGCCUGAUCCAGCAAUGCCGCGUGAGUGAUGAAGGCCUUAGGGUUGUAAAGCUCUUUUACCCGGGAUGAUAAUGACAGUACCGGGAGAAUAA
RNAcentral lists this ribosomal RNA (434 nucleotides) under uncultured Alphaproteobacteria bacterium. RNAcentral describes it as "bacterial SSU rRNA". It matches the Rfam family "Bacterial small subunit ribosomal RNA", at positions 9 to 489 of the family's 1533-position model. Lineage: Bacteria; Pseudomonadati; Pseudomonadota; Alphaproteobacteria. The record is from RNAcentral.